CUACGGGAUGCUGCAGUGGGGAAUAUUGCACAAUGGGCGCAAGCCUGAUGCAGCAACGCCGCGUGAGGGAUGAAGGCCUUCGGGUUGUAAACCUCUUUUAGCAGGGAAGAAGCGAAAGUGACGGUACCUGCAGAAAAAGCACCGGCUAACUACGUGCCAGCAGCCGCGGGAAUACGUAGGGUGCAAGCGUUGUCCGGAAUUAUUGGGCGUAAAGAGCUCGUAGGCGGUUUGUCACGUCUGCUGUGAAAAUCCAAGGCUCAACCUUGGACUUGCAGUGGGUACGGGCAGGCUAGAGUGCGGUAGGGGAGAGCGGAAUUCCUGGUGUAGCGGUGGAAUGCGCAGAUAUCAGGAGGAACACCAAUGGCGAAGGCACAUCUCUGGGCCGUAACUGACGCUGAGGAGCGAAAGCGUGGGGAGCGAACAGGAUUAGAUACCCCAGUAGUC
This 444-nucleotide ribosomal RNA is filed under the name uncultured bacterium. Its description in RNAcentral is "partial 16S ribosomal RNA". It matches the Rfam family "Bacterial small subunit ribosomal RNA", at positions 339 to 795 of the family's 1533-position model. The record is from RNAcentral.